RNAcentral lists this ribosomal RNA (243 nucleotides) under uncultured Actinomycetales bacterium. Its description in RNAcentral is "partial 16S ribosomal RNA". It matches the Rfam family "Bacterial small subunit ribosomal RNA", at positions 89 to 334 of the family's 1533-position model. Lineage: Bacteria; Bacillati; Actinomycetota; Actinomycetes; Actinomycetales. The record is from RNAcentral.
GCUCGAGUGGCGAACGGGUGAGUAACGCGUGAGUAACCUGCCCUUGACUUUGGGAUAACUUCAGGAAACUGGGGCUAAUACCGGAUAGGAGCUCCUGCUGCAUGGUGGGGGUUGGAAAGUUUCGGCGGUUGGGGAUGGACUCGCGGCUUAUCAGCUUGUUGGUGGGGUAGUGGCUUACCAAGGCGACACGGGUAGCCGGCCUGAGAGGGUGAUCGGCCACAUUGGGACUGAGAUACGGCCCAG